RNAcentral lists this ribosomal RNA (1271 nucleotides) under Salmonella enterica. RNAcentral describes it as "bacterial LSU rRNA". It matches the Rfam family "Bacterial large subunit ribosomal RNA", at positions 505 to 1693 of the family's 2925-position model. The record is from RNAcentral. RNAcentral also lists the same sequence under 1 other name. Lineage: Bacteria; Pseudomonadati; Pseudomonadota; Gammaproteobacteria; Enterobacterales; Enterobacteriaceae.
GAGGGAAAGGCGAAAAGAACCCCGGCGAGGGGAGUGAAAAAGAACCUGAAACCGUGUACGUACAAGCAGUGGGAGCACAGGUUUACCUGUGUGACUGCGUACCUUUUGUAUAAUGGGUCAGCGACUUAUAUUCUGUAGCAAGGUUAACCGUAUAGGGGAGCCGUAGGGAAACCGAGUCUUAACCGGGCGUUAAGUUGCAGGGUAUAGACCCGAAACCCGGUGAUCUAGCCAUGGGCAGGUUGAAGGUUGGGUAACACUAACUGGAGGACCGAACCGACUAAUGUUGAAAAAUUAGCGGAUGACCUGUGGCUGGGGGUGAAAGGCCAAUCAAACCGGGAGAUAGCUGGUUCUCCCCGAAAGCUAUUUAGGUAGCGCCUCGUGAACUCAUCUCCGGGGGUAGAGCACUGUUUCGGCUAGGGGGCCAUCCCGGCUUACCAACCCGAUGCAAACUGCGAAUACCGGAGAAUGUUAUCACGGGAGACACACGGCGGGUGCUAACGUCCGUCGUGAAGAGGGAAACAACCCAGACCGCCAGCUAAGGUCCCAAAGUCAUGGUUAAGUGGGAAACGAUGUGGGAAGGCCCAGACAGCCAGGAUGUUGGCUUAGAAGCAGCCAUCAUUUAAAGAAAGCGUAAUAGCUCACUGGUCGAGUCGGCCUGCGCGGAAGAUGUAACGGGGCUAAACCAUGCACCGAAGCUGCGGCAGCGAACGUAUCACUUAAAGCGAUUCAGCGGGUUACGAUUGACGGAGCGAAGCGACGUCAAAGCGUAUACAAAGUCGAGUCGGUUUAAGGAUACGUUCGUUGGGUAGGGGAGCGUUCUGUAAGCCUGUGAAGGUGUGUCGUGAGGCAUGCUGGAGGUAUCAGAAGUGCGAAUGCUGACAUAAGUAACGAUAAAGCGGGUGAAAAGCCCGCUCGCCGGAAGACCAAGGGUUCCUGUCCAACGUUAAUCGGGGCAGGGUGAGUCGACCCCUAAGGCGAGGCCGAAAGGCGUAGUCGAUGGGAAACAGGUUAAUAUUCCUGUACUUGGUGUUACUGCGAAGGGGGGACGGAGAAGGCUAUGUUGGCCGGGCGACGGUUGUCCCGGUUUAAGCGUGUAGGCUGGUUUUCCAGGCAAAUCCGGUUCACUUUAAAACUGAGGCGUGAUGACGAGGCACUACGGUGCUGAAGCAACAAAUGCCCUGCUUCCAGGAAAAGCCUCUAAGCAUCAGGUAACAUCAAAUCGUACCCCAAACCGACACAGGUGGUCAGGUAGAGAAUACCAAGGCGCUUGA